RNAcentral lists this small nuclear RNA (172 nucleotides) under Oryza meridionalis. Its description in RNAcentral is "snRNA U2". It matches the Rfam family "U2 spliceosomal RNA". Rfam says of the family: U2 is a small nuclear RNA (snRNA) component of the spliceosome (involved in pre-mRNA splicing). Lineage: Eukaryota; Viridiplantae; Streptophyta; Magnoliopsida; Poales; Poaceae. The record is from RNAcentral.
AUCUAUAUGAGUUUCAAACACCACCCAAGUGUGCUAUCUGUUCUUAUCAGUUUAAUAUCUGAUAUGCGAGCCAUAUGCUUACUUCUAUAUUAAAUUUAUUUAUUUUUUUGUGAGGGAGUGCCCUCAAGUGUCGUUUAAGCGUUGCACUACACCCUAAGCCGCCCCAACUAAA